Suricata suricatta (meerkat) is the source of this 1612-nucleotide long non-coding RNA. RefSeq lists it as uncharacterized. The record is from RefSeq and is a predicted model, not a curated record. The transcript has 5 exons. Lineage: Eukaryota; Metazoa; Chordata; Mammalia; Carnivora; Herpestidae.
GACGCGCUCCUGCCUCCCGCUUCCGUCACCCAAGCCCCUCCCCCAGGGCCUUCACCACCAGAACGAGCCUGGGGGCAACCACGGGAGGAAGUGGGUCUUUCCCUGGCGGCCAGCUGCAGGAUUUGUGAGGCCCGGUGCAAAACGGAACCUGGAGGCCCGGUUCCUGAGUAAAUGGUGGGCCGCUCAGUGUGGAGGCUGGCACUGCUCUUUCUGCCGAAGCUGCUGCCCUCAGGAGCAUCUCUGCGUGGUGCGGACCGUGGGGAGGGCAGCCCGGCCCCCAGACCCUGUCACCCGCACCCCAAUGGGAGUCAGGGUCCAGGCAGACUGGCCGGGGUGAUGACCAGCCUCGUCUCCCGAGGGGCAGCGAGCGGACCUCGGCCCCCAGCCCUCCUGCUCGUCCCCUGGAGGGCCCAUUGUGGAUCUGGGUGUCCUGGGUCUGCUCCGAGAGAGCCACCAAGAGCAGCCCUAGGGAGGAGCCUGUCACCCACGCGAUCUCACAGGACCCUCUGAACAGGUCUGGGGCAGGGGGGAAGGAGGCCGGGAGAGGGGCAGCCCCUGGCCCGGGGCCACCCAGCCACCCCAGCCCUGCGCCCGAAGCAGGAAUGUUGCCGUGAGGCUGGCGAGGCCGCAGCUCGGGGGACGGCAGAGAGGAAAACGUUAAAACUGUCAGCCCAAAACAGGGGUGAACAGACAAGAGGGACUACCUCUCGUCGACGCCACAGGCCUGGCCGAGAACUUGCUGGGGCCUGUCCCGCACGCCUGUCGGGGGCUCUGAGGCGGCCACACACCGCUAGGCCCUGCGCUGCCCUGCUCCUCCUGAGGGGGCCGGUCAGCUGUCACCCCCAGCAUGGCCAGACCUGCCCGCCUCCCAUCACAGUGGUUAGGACCCCGAGGGAAGCUAUGUGCUGCCAAGCGAAUGCAGGAGUGUCUAGAGCCCAACAGAAGGGACCUGGGCCGAGAAGGCUCCGAGAACACCCCGCCUCUGGGCCCGGCGAGCUCUGGCUUCCAUCUUGCCUGAGGAUGCCCUGGGACCGGCCUUGGGCCGGGGAGCAGAGUCGCCCAGCACGAGACCCCGCGAGCCCCCUCCCAGGAGCACACUCGGGGGAGGUGAGAACAGGGAGGCAGCAGGUGCCUGCACACCCAAGUUCACCGCCGCCGACAGCUGGGACCCACAGGGUGUCUGUGGGUGAUGGAAACAGAUGACCGCGCCUGGCGGACGCACGGGGUGGAGUGUGACUGGGCCUUAGGACACGACGGGCGCGGCGCGGGCCACACGCGGACAAGCCUCCAACACAACUCGCCAAGGGAGAGGCCACAUGUUCCAUGUGACCUUCUCUCGUGACCCUUCAUGACCCACUUGCGGGAAGCGUCCAGAACCGGCAAAUCCCCGGACAGAGAGCAGAUCAGUGGCUUGUCUGGGCUGGGGCGAGAGUGGGGGUCUGGGGGGAGUCACUGCUUCGCGGGCUCAGGGUUUCCUUUUGGGGGGAUGAAAAUGCUCUGGCGCCGGAUCACAGCCCUGUGAAUGUACUUCCUCCCCCUGAAUUAUGUGCUUCAAAAUGGCCAAAAUGGCAAAUUUUAUGUGACGUGUACUUUACUGCAAUACAAAAACCUA